This 766-nucleotide ribosomal RNA is filed under the name uncultured bacterium. RNAcentral's name for it is "bacterial SSU rRNA". It matches the Rfam family "Bacterial small subunit ribosomal RNA", at positions 36 to 780 of the family's 1533-position model. The record is from RNAcentral.
CUGGCGGUGUAAGACUGCAAGUCGAGCGCUGAUUACGGGGUAGCAAUAUUCCGUAGUCGGAGCGGCGCAAGGGUGCGUAACACGUGGGUAAUCUGCCAUGAAGUUUGGAAUAACUUGCUGAAAGGCGAGCUAAUGCCGGAUGUGAAAGCUGGGAGGCAUCUCCUGGUUUUCAAAGCUGGGGACCGCAAGGCCUGGCGCUUCAUGAUGAGCCCGCGGCCUAUCAGCUAGUUGGUAAGGUAACGGCUUACCAAGGCUAAGACGGGUAGCUGGUCUGAGAGGACGACCAGCCACACUGGAACUGAGACACGGUCCAGACACCUACGGGUGGCAGCAGUCGAGAAUUUUUCACAAUGGGCGCAAGCCUGAUGGAGCGACGCCGCGUGGGGGAUGAAUGGCUUCGGCCCGUAAACCCCUGUCAUUUGCGAUCAACCGUUGUUAUUUAAAAGAUGACAGCCUGAUAGCAGCGAAAGAGGAAGGGACGGCUAACUCUGUGCCAGCAGCCGCGGUAAUACAGAGGUCCCAAGCGUUGUUCGGAUUCACUGGGCGUAAAGGGUGCGUAGGUGGCGGGGUAAGUCGGAUGUGAAAUCUCCGAGCUCAGCUCGGAAAUGGCAUUGGAAACUACUCUGCUCGAGGGUUGGAGGGGGGACUGGAAUGCUUGGUGUAGCAGUGAAAUGCGUAGAUAUCAAGCGGAACACCAGUGGCGAAGGCGAGUCCCUGGACAACUCCUGACACUGAGGCACGAAAGCUAGGGGAGCAAACAGGAUUA